UACAGAGGUCUCAAGCGUUGUUCGGAUUCAUUGGGCGUAAAGGGUGCGUAGGCGGCGCGGUAAGUCGGGUGUGAAAUCUCGGAGCUUAACUCCGAAACUGCAUUCGAUACUGCCGUGCUUGAGGACUGGAGAGGAGACUGGAAUUUACGGUGUAGCGGUGAAGUGCGUAGAUAUCGUAAGGAAGACCAGUGGCGAAGGCGGGUCUCUGGACAGUUCCUGACGCUGAGGCACGAAGGCCAGGGGAGCAAACGGG
RNAcentral lists this ribosomal RNA (253 nucleotides) under uncultured bacterium. Its description in RNAcentral is "partial 16S ribosomal RNA". It matches the Rfam family "Bacterial small subunit ribosomal RNA", at positions 524 to 776 of the family's 1533-position model. The record is from RNAcentral.